UUGAGAUGAGCUCCUUGUAUCAGUGAUUGAGCUAAUCAUCAUAGAGGUAUUAAUGGUGUUUCUUGAUGGGUGGUAAAUUUUUUCUAAUAAACUUUAUUGUGUUGCUGCUGACUAGCCCUUCAGUUUAGGUGGAAACUUUUUUAUUGACAGUUUGGAUUGAGUUUUCUGAAGUUGGAAGUUCGGCUACUUGAAAGACAGCAACUUCUGCUUCCAAAAGACCAUAUCAUCAAUUAUCCCUAGUUGUUACCUGCCUCUUCAAUGUUGUAAUGAUAUGGGUGCUCUUUGAAGGUUUCUUGGGAUAAUUUUGGGUAAGGACUGAGAGUGUUGAUCAUUUUGGAUGCUGGACUUUCUUUUGUCGAAAGGAUUGAAAUCAAGGGGUCUUCAGAUGCUUUAUGGUUAUGCAUCUUGCUCAAGGAGCCAUAUCCCGUGUGGAACUAUAAUCCAGAGAAAAGUUAGACAACAUGUAAAAUAAUGGUAUUUAACUUGCCAACUAUGAUCAUCAUUUAUUGAUAGUAAAUUACUUAAUACUUACUAUUACUCUCUUCUGCCCAGUCUCAGGUUUUCAGUGUGGUGUCACGUAUAGGAGGAGAAAGUU
Molecule: unclassified non-coding RNA, 595 nt
Filed under: Hevea brasiliensis (rubber tree)
Lineage: Eukaryota; Viridiplantae; Streptophyta; Magnoliopsida; Malpighiales; Euphorbiaceae
Source: RNAcentral